RNAcentral lists this long non-coding RNA (398 nucleotides) under Mus musculus (house mouse). RNAcentral's name for it is "lincRNA-EC166". Lineage: Eukaryota; Metazoa; Chordata; Mammalia; Rodentia; Muridae. The record is from RNAcentral.
CUUUGAAUGUUCUGGACGAGACGAUCCUUACUCAAGUCUAGAGGCGAGAGGAAGCACCUGUUGUGGACAGUUCCACUCCUGAGGCUGUGGGUGCACUGUAGUCCUGCAGUCGGUCAUGUGGCACCUGUAGUAACCUACUACGUUAAGGAGGAAAUCAUUAUUUAAAGAAGAUUCUCUUGUCCAAGUCACUUGGCAUCUCUCUUAAUUUCUCACCAACUGAAAAGAUAAUAGCAUACACACCACAGAGCAUGGCUGUUGGAAUGAAAUGGCUCGUCAAGGGAGAACAGUUUUGUCCAAUCCUGGAACAGGUUCUUACUUUUGUCAUCUGUGAAAGCAGCAUCAUAGGCAUUCUGCAGAACUCUCGCGCGAUCUGACGGAGGCUGCUAGGUAAGUCAGGG